GCACAGCUGUGGACCAAUCACAGCCAGGACACACCUGCACAGUCACAGCUGUGGACCAAUCACAGGCCAGGACCCCGCUGUGCUCAGUCCAGGAUGUUUAGUGGGACCAAAUAUUGAAGUUUUACACUGAGCGUCCACAGUGUUUAGAAGGAGACUGGAAACCUUUGAAUUCAGUCAGACCCUUUUCCAACCAGGCCUGUGGAGGACACGCCCACACAGAGGUCUCCUCCCCUCUGCUGGUCUCUGCUGGUCUCUGCUGGUCUCCUGGUCUCUGCUGGUCUCUGCUGGUCUCCUGGUCUCUGCUGGUCUCCUGGUCUCCUUUAGGGUCCACCUCUUCAGUAUAUUGACUCUUUUAGGACCGUUUCUAAAGCCGGAUCUGAGGCUCAGUCAACAGUUCUGGAACAAACUGUUUGUUUGGUCAAAGGGAACGAGGGACGUGACUGAGACAGGCUGACCUUUAUAUGUACGUUUACA
Sphaeramia orbicularis (orbiculate cardinalfish) is the source of this 474-nucleotide long non-coding RNA. RefSeq lists it as uncharacterized. The record is from RefSeq and is a predicted model, not a curated record. The transcript is spliced from 3 exons. Lineage: Eukaryota; Metazoa; Chordata; Actinopteri; Kurtiformes; Apogonidae.